UCUAUAGUUGUUGCUUCUUCACUAAUUUGAAUUUUUCUCUUAUAUUUCAAUACCUCAAGUUUAUGAUUUAUUUGCAGAAGUUUGGUAUUACAUUACUGGAAAUAAAUUUUAUUUUCCUACUAUUGGUAGAGGCGUUUUUGUUUUUUUGCAGGUUGGCUCUCCACAAGCUCCAAAACCAUUGCAUGAUGGUUAAAGGAAUUAGGUUUUGUAUAACCAUGACUGAACAAAAGUAUAAAAUAUUGAAACUAAUUGCAAUAGGAUUAAUGCCUUGAGCAUACAGAGGUGUUUUGGCUCUGUUUGGUAGUCUGGAAAAGCUGUAGGAAAAAAAAAAAUGAUGACAAUUACUUAAUGAUGACAAAGUAGAACCCACAAAUAUGAAAUUUCGCAGUCAAGAAAAAGACUUAAUUAGAGCUUUAAUUCUGGAACUUCUUGUAUCAAGAAUGCUGAAAACAAGUCUGUUUAGCUUUUUAGAAGAUGCAUUCUUCAACCCCACUAUAUAUGAAUCUUGUUUCUUGGUUUCUUGAUGGGAAAUUCUGUCCCAAAGUGUCUGUAAGACCCUGCAGUUAUUAAUUAGAGCUUUAAUUCUGAAACUUCUUGUAUCAAGAAUGCUCAAAAACAAGUCUGUUUAGCCUUUUAGAAGAUGCAUUCUUCAACCCCACUAGAUAUGAGUCUUGUUUCUUGGUUUCUUGAUGAGAAAUUCUGUCCCAAAGGGUUUCUGUAAGACCCUUUAGUUAUUAAUUAGAGCUUUAAUUCUGCAACUUCUUGUAUCAAGGAUGCUCAAAACAAGUCUGUUUUAGCUUUUUAGAAGAUGCAUUCUUCAACCCCACUAGAUAUGAAUCUUGUUUCUUGGUUUCUUGUUGGGAAAUUAUCUGUCCCAAAGGGUGUCUGUAAGACCCUUCAGUUAUAUUUGCAUGCUGACUUCUGAUGGUUGGUUCUAACGGUGACUUCAGUUGGCUCAACUCGAGAGGUAAUCUAUGUCCUGAACUGUGAGGGGGCCAGUAUCGAUAUUGUACUUGCUGAAGCUGAUCUUCCUAUGGCCAACAGCAUGAAGAUUUUAAAGUACAUUACUUAAGAUCAAGAGCUGCGACACAUUCCAGUGAUCAUGUUGGUGGCACAGGACAACAUCUCCAUGAUCGCAAAGUGCUUGAUGCAUGGAGCGACUACCUCAUGAUGCCUUUAGGUAGUAACGUGCUAUUUAAUUUGUGGACAUGUCUGGAGAACAAGGCGCAUGCUUGGACUUCCAGAGAAAAACAUCUUUCAUAGUGACUUUGAAAGAUUCGUGGCAUCUGCCAUCUAUGCUGGAGAUGCUUCUGGAAAAGGGGUCAUUUUACAAGACGAGGUGUCCUCAUCCCUUGAAUAAGAACUUCAAAGUCCCCAUGAAAAGUUGGAGAGUACUGGAUGGUCAGUCAUGAAUGUUGAGAUGAAGAGCACAGGCAGCAUUCAAGAAAAUCCAGGUCCUUUUGACACUGAAGGCCAUUUAUAAACAUUGGGCAUUGUAAUGAUUCCAGCUUAGCUUCCAUCUAAAUGAGUUUCCGUUUUCAUCUAAGAAAUGUUGAAUCUUGAGACACUCUCCUCAUUACAAGUUUCUCUAUUGUCAAGAAUUAAAGACUUUAGACACAUGGGUUACUUUCCCUUGUGAUAAAAAAGACAUACUGGUCAGACGAAAAAGACUCCUUCGAAUGGUGACAAGUAUAACAUGCAUGGCUAAUACAUAUUAUCUUCCUAAGUUGCCUGCUUGUGGACUGAGUGCAGCUUUCUGGUUUGAGUAUGAUGUUAUCCCCAUGCUGUGAAGACUGCAAGCAGAGAAACAUGGCUUCUAUGUAGCAGAAUUGACAAACCACAAUAGCCAGCCAGGCAUAUAUAAUCCGGGAUUGGUUGGAUUUUAACCAACCAGCAUGGCUCUGGUUUUCCAUAGUCCAAAGUCUUGUAUCACCACACGGAGCAAUUACACUAGUGUGAAAUUUGGCUAAGGACAUUUCCACCCUUCAAAUUCACAUUGAACCCAUCAAAUCUUGACCAUCUUUAUUGGCUCACUCUAUGAAUGGUCACAAUUCCCUUCUUAUUUUUGACACAUUUAAAAUAAAGGUAUGGUUUUACCAGAUCGAAUAUGUGAAAACUUGACCAAUUGGACUAUCCCAAAUUGGAAACAAAAUGAA
Vitis riparia (riverbank grape) is the source of this 2156-nucleotide long non-coding RNA. RefSeq lists it as uncharacterized. The record is from RefSeq and is a predicted model, not a curated record. NCBI's taxonomy places the organism in Eukaryota, Viridiplantae, Streptophyta, Magnoliopsida, Vitales, Vitaceae. The transcript has 3 exons.